This 222-nucleotide long non-coding RNA is filed under the name Brassica napus (rape). RNAcentral describes it as "long non-coding RNA (BNAP_LNC017874)". The record is from RNAcentral. Lineage: Eukaryota; Viridiplantae; Streptophyta; Magnoliopsida; Brassicales; Brassicaceae.
GUGAUUUGAGUAGUAUUUUAAAUGUGGGCACAGUAUUCAGCCGACAGUUUUAAGCACACGAACUUGUUUGAUCUGUUGCCAUUGGUGUUGUAAGAAUGUGUUUAGAAAAUUUCCUUCACAGAAACUACAUGUCAAAACAUAGAGGUGGCUCCUAUAAAGAAUGCGAACAACCGUUUGUGGAGAUCAAUUUAGUAUUGCAAAAUAACAAAAGACUAGGAUAAG